UGCGCCUUGCCAGCCCGCUCAGAAACUCAAAGGAAUUGACGGGGGCCCGCACAAGCGGAGGAGCAUGUGGUUUAAUUCGAUGAUACGCGAGGAACCUUACCUGGGCUCGAACGUAAGAUGACUGUAGGUGAAAGCUUACAUCUCUUCGGAGCAUUUUACGAGGUGCUGCAUGGUUGUCGUCAGCUCGUGCCGUGAGGUGUCGGGUUAAGUCCCAUAACGAGCGCAACCCCUGUCCUUAGUUACCAGCACGUUAUGGUGGGCACUCUAAGGAGACUGCCGGUGACAAACCGGAGGAAGGUGGGGAUGACGUCAAGUCAUCAUGGCCCUUACGGCCUGGGCUACACACGUGCUACAAUGGUCGGUACAAAGGGUUGCCAAGCCGCGAGGUGGAGCUAAUCCCAUAAAACCGAUCGUAGUCCGGAUCGCAGUCUGCAACUCGACUGCGUGAAGUCGGAAUCGCUAGUAAUCGUGAAUCAGAAUGUCACGGUGAAUACGUUCCCGGGCCUU
RNAcentral lists this ribosomal RNA (507 nucleotides) under uncultured Pseudomonas sp. RNAcentral's name for it is "bacterial SSU rRNA". It matches the Rfam family "Bacterial small subunit ribosomal RNA", at positions 903 to 1382 of the family's 1533-position model. The record is from RNAcentral. Lineage: Bacteria; Pseudomonadati; Pseudomonadota; Gammaproteobacteria; Pseudomonadales; Pseudomonadaceae.